ACUCAAAGGAAUAGACGGGACCCCGCACAAGCAGAGGAGCGUGCUGUUUAAUUCGAAGAUACACGAAAAACCUUACCAAGGCUUGACAUUUAGUGCAUAGCGUGGAAACACGUGAAAUCCGAAAGGACACUAGGACAGAUGAUGCAUGGUUGUCGUCAGCUCGUGUCGUGAGAUGUUGGGUUAAGUCCCGCAACGAGCGCAACCCUCGCCAGAAGUUGCUAACAUUUAGUUGAGAACUCUUCUGGGACUGCCGCGGAUAACGUGGAGGAAGGUGGGGAUGAUGUCAAAUCAUCACGUCUCUUACGUCUUGGGCUACAGGCGCGCUACAAUGGCCAUUACAAAGAGAAGCGAUAUAGCAAUAUGGAGCAAAUCUCAUAAAGGUGGCCCCAGUUCAGAUUGAGGGCUGAAACUCGCCCUCAUGAAGCAGGAUUUGCUAGUAAUCCCAGAUCAGCAUGCUGGGGUGAAUGCGUUCCCGGGGUUUGUACACACCGCCCGU
RNAcentral lists this ribosomal RNA (496 nucleotides) under uncultured bacterium. RNAcentral describes it as "bacterial SSU rRNA". It matches the Rfam family "Bacterial small subunit ribosomal RNA", at positions 899 to 1397 of the family's 1533-position model. The record is from RNAcentral.